GUCGAACGAUGAAGCCUUUCGGGGUGGAUUAGUGGCGAACGGGUGAGUAACACGUGGGCAAUCUGCCCUUCACUCUGGGACAAGCCCUGGAAACGGGGUCUAAUACCGGAUAACACUCUGUCCCGCAUGGGACGGGGUUAAAAGCUCCGGCGGUGAAGGAUGAGCCCGCGGCCUAUCAGCUUGUUGGUGGGGUAAUGGCCUACCAAGGCGACGACGGGUAGCCGGCCUGAGAGGGCGACCGGCCACACUGGGACUGAGACACGGCCCAGACUCCUACGGGAGGCAGCAGUGGGGAAUAUUGCACAAUGGGCGAAAGCCUGAUGCAGCGACGCCGCGUGAGGGAUGACGGCCUUCGGGUUGUAAACCUCUUUCAGCAGGGAAGAAGCGAAAGUGACGGUACCUGCAGAAGAAGCGCCGGCUAACUACGUGCCAGCAGCCGCGGUAAUACGUAGGGCGCAAGCGUUGUCCGGAAUUAUUGGGCGUAAAGAGCUCGUAGGCGGCUUGUCACGUCGGAUGUGAAAGCCCGGGGCUUAACCCCGGGUCUGCAUUCGAUACGGGCUAGCUAGAGUGUGGUAGGGGAGAUCGGAAUUCCUGGUGUAGCGGUGAAAUGCGCAGAUAUCAGGAGGAACACCGGUGGCGAAGGCGGAUCUCUGGGCCAUUACUGACGCUGAGGAGCGAAAGCGUGGGGAGCGAACAGGAUUAGAUACCCUGGUAGUCCACGCCGUAAACGUUGGGAACUAAGGUGUUGGCGACAUUCCACGUCGUCGGUGCCGCAGCUAACGCAUUAAGUUCCCGCCUGGGGGAAUACGGCCGCAAGGCUAAAACUCAAAGGAAAUUGACGGGGGGCCCGCACAAGCAGCGGAGCAUGUGGGCUUAAUUCGACGCAACGCGAAGAACCUUACCAAGGCUUGACAUAUAACCGGAAAGC
RNAcentral lists this ribosomal RNA (928 nucleotides) under Streptomyces sp. 1WH5_01. RNAcentral's name for it is "bacterial SSU rRNA". It matches the Rfam family "Bacterial small subunit ribosomal RNA", at positions 61 to 998 of the family's 1533-position model. The record is from RNAcentral. Lineage: Bacteria; Bacillati; Actinomycetota; Actinomycetes; Kitasatosporales; Streptomycetaceae.